CCAGUCUGUUAACCAGGAGGAAGUAUAACAGAGAGAAAUGAAAAUACAGAGCUACGAGGAGACGGAGAGAUUCAGGGAGGAGCUGAGCUGUUACUGAACUAUAGAAGAGAGAGGAACUUCCACAUUCAGCAGAGUUCAAUACACAAACCAGAAACAUUACCUUUAUUCAACAUGCUGUCACUGGACUAUUAUGGACUUUCUCUACUGUUACUAUCCAUUCUAACAGGUGUCAGCUGUGAAGAACUCACUCCAGUCAAGAAUGAAGAGUUCAGUUUAGAAGGCAGCACUGUUACUCUGUCCUGCAAAUACGGCAAAGGUGCUGCCGAUUAUUUCUUCUGGUAUCGACAACAUCCAGGAAAAGCACCACAGUUCCUCAUUUCUCAUCUGGAAUCAGGAGAAAUAUUAGCAGAUCCAGUCUCUGGACUGUCUGUUAAAGUGAGUGAGGAUAAAACCCGAAUGGACCUGCAGAUCUCCUCUGCUGCAGUGACAGACUCUGCUCUGUACUACUGUGCUGUGAGGCCCACAGUGACAGCAAACCCACAGUCUCUGUACAAAAACCUGACAGCUCCUCACUGAAGAUUUACACACUUCAGCCC
Non-coding RNA from Siniperca chuatsi (mandarin fish), 596 nucleotides. Lineage: Eukaryota; Metazoa; Chordata; Actinopteri; Centrarchiformes; Sinipercidae. The record is from the annotation of a RefSeq genome assembly.